GACGAACGCUGGCGGCGUGCUUAACACAUGCAAGUCGAACGGAAAGGCCCUGCUUGCAGGGUACUCGAGUGGCGAACGGGUGAGUAACACGUGGGUGAUCUGCCCUGCACUUCGGGAUAAGCUUGGGAAACUGGGUCUAAUACCGGAUAGGAGCCAUCUUUAGUGUGGUGGUUGGAAAGUUUUUUCGGUGUAGGAUGAGCUCGCGGCCUAUCAGCUUGUUGGUGGGGUAAUGGCCUACCAAGGCGGCGACGGGUAGCCGGCCUGAGAGGGUGUACGGCCACAUUGGGACUGAGAUACGGCCCAGACUCCUACGGGAGGCAGCAGUGGGGAAUAUUGCACAAUGGGCGCAAGCCUGAUGCAGCGGCGCCGCGUGGGGGAUGAAGGCCUUCGGGUUGUAAACUCCUUUCGCUAGGGACGAAGCUUUUUUGUGACGGUACCUAGAUAAGAAGCACCGGCUAACUACGUG
Molecule: ribosomal RNA, 466 nt
Filed under: uncultured bacterium
Lineage: Bacteria
Description: partial 16S ribosomal RNA
Rfam family: Bacterial small subunit ribosomal RNA
Source: RNAcentral